GAGCUUGCUCUCGGGUGACGAGUGGCGGACGGGUGAGUAAUGUCUGGGAAACUGCCUGAUGGAGGGGGAUAACUACUGGAAACGGUAGCUAAUACCGCAUAACGUAGCAAGACCAAAGAGGGGGACCUUCGGGUCUCUUGCCAUCAGAUGUGCCCAGAUGGGAUUAGCUAGUAGGUGGGGUAAUGGCUCACCUAGGCGACGAUCCCUAGCUGGUCUGAGAGGAUGACCAGCCACACUGGAACUGAGACACGGUCCAGACUCCUACGGGAGGCAGCAGUGGGGAAUAUUGCACAAUGGGCGCAAGCCUGAUGCAGCCAUGCCGCGUGUAUGAAGAAGGCCUUCGGGUUGUAAAGUACUUUCAGCGGGGAGGAAGGUGUUGUGGUUAAUAACCGCAGCAAUUGACGUUACCCGCAGAAGAAGCACCGGCUAACUCCGUGCCAGCAGCCGCGGUAAUACGGAGGGUGCAAGCGUUAAUCGGAAUUACUGGGCGUAAAGCGCACGCAGGCGGUCUGUCAAGUCGGAUGUGAAAUCCCCGGGCUCAACCUGGGAACUGCAUUCGAAACUGGCAGGCUAGAGUCUUGUAGAGGGGGGUAGAAUUCCAGGUGUAGCGGUGAAAUGCGUAGAGAUCUGGAGGAAUA
RNAcentral lists this ribosomal RNA (638 nucleotides) under uncultured Gammaproteobacteria bacterium. RNAcentral's name for it is "bacterial SSU rRNA". It matches the Rfam family "Bacterial small subunit ribosomal RNA", at positions 76 to 708 of the family's 1533-position model. The record is from RNAcentral. Lineage: Bacteria; Pseudomonadati; Pseudomonadota; Gammaproteobacteria.